This 253-nucleotide ribosomal RNA is filed under the name uncultured bacterium. RNAcentral describes it as "partial 16S ribosomal RNA". It matches the Rfam family "Bacterial small subunit ribosomal RNA", at positions 524 to 776 of the family's 1533-position model. The record is from RNAcentral.
UACGUAGGGAGCGAGCGUUGUCCGGAAUUACUGGGCGUAAAGGGCGCGUAGGCGGGAACUUAAGUUAGAUGUGAAAACUCCGGGCUUAACCUGGAGACUGCAUUUAAAACUGGGUUUCUUGAGGGCAGGAGAGGAAAGUGGAAUUCCUAGUGUAGCGGUGAAAUGCGUAGAUAUUAGGAGGAACACCAGUGGCGAAGGCGGUCUGCUGGACAGCAACUGACGCUGAGGCGCGAAAGCGUGGGGAGCAAACAGG